RNAcentral lists this ribosomal RNA (262 nucleotides) under uncultured bacterium. RNAcentral describes it as "partial small subunit ribosomal RNA". It matches the Rfam family "Bacterial small subunit ribosomal RNA", at positions 26 to 285 of the family's 1533-position model. The record is from RNAcentral.
AGGACGAACGCUGGCGGCGUGCUUAACACAUGCAAGUCGAGCGAGGCCCCUUCCUUCGGGAGGGGAGCCCUAGCGGCGAACGGGUGAGUAACACGUGGGCAAUCUGCCCCUAGCACUGGGAUAACUCCGGGAAAACCGGGGCUAAUACCGGAUAUGACCUCCGAGGGCAUCCUCUGGAGGUGGAAAGGAUUCUGGCUAGGGAUGAGCCCGCGGCCUAUCAGCUAGUUGGUGGGGUAAUGGCCCACCAAGGCGACGACGGGUA